CCUACGGGAGGCAGCAGUGGGGAAUAUUGCGCAAUGGGCGAAAGCCUGACGCAGCGACGCCGCGUGAGGGAUGAAGGUCUUCGGAUCGUAAACCUCUGUCAGCAGGGAAGAAAGGUCACUGUGCUAAUCAGCAGUGAAUUGACGGUACCUGCAAAGGAAGCACCGGCUAACGCCGGGCGAUCAGCCGCGGUAAUACGGAGGGUGCGAGGGUUAAUCGGAAUUACGGGGCGUAAAGCGCUCGUAGGGGGGAUGUCAAGUCAAGGGUGAACUCCCGGGGGUAAACGGGGGAACUGCCUUGGAACCUGGCAAACUGGGGUGUGUGAGAGGAUAGUGGAAUUCCGGGUGUAGGAGUGAAAUCCGUAGAUAUCUGGAGGAACAUCAGGGGCGAAGGCGACUAUCUGGCACAUAACUGACGCUGAGGAGCGAAAGCGUGGGUAGCAAACAGGAUUAGAUACCCCUGUAGU
RNAcentral lists this ribosomal RNA (464 nucleotides) under uncultured bacterium. Its description in RNAcentral is "partial 16S ribosomal RNA". It matches the Rfam family "Bacterial small subunit ribosomal RNA", at positions 338 to 794 of the family's 1533-position model. The record is from RNAcentral.